GAUCAUGGCCUAUAAAAUACUUCAAGUAGCCCUGUGUUCAACAUUGCUUAUCGGCUCAUGAAACAUGGAUUGCUUUGAAAACAACAGCACAGUAUUAUUUGGAUAUGAAUACCUUCACCUUUGACAUGUCUACUGCCCAGUAAAUAUGUUUUCCUGGUUAAAGCAGGAGGAUGAAGAUGGCACAAGUUGGAAUGGCAUUGUGCCCAAACCAUGGGUUUUAGAGAUCUGAGGGUAUAUCCAUGCUGUUUACUACAUUAUUUAUUAUGUCUGUCUCAAAGUUGUUGAAAAGAGUAGUUAUGAAAACCCAUGUAGAAACUUGGAAUAAGACAUUCUCAAUAAAUGGUAGUUCUCAAAAAAAGAACUAAAAAAAAAAAAAA
This 377-nucleotide small RNA is filed under the name Pongo abelii (Sumatran orangutan). RNAcentral describes it as "processed transcript". Lineage: Eukaryota; Metazoa; Chordata; Mammalia; Primates; Hominidae. The record is from RNAcentral.